CCUACGGGUGGCAGCAGUGGGGGAUAUUGCACAAUGGGGGAAACCCUGAUGCAGCGACGCCGCGUGUGGGAAGACGGUCUUCUGGAUUGUAAACCACUGUCCCCAGGGACGAAAAUGACGGUACCUGGGGAGGAAGCUCCGGCUAACUACGUGCCAGCAGCCGCGGUAAUACGGAGGGAGCAAGUGUUGUCCGGAAUUACGGGGUGUAAGGGGAGCGUAGGCGGGGAUGCAAGUAGGGGGUCAAAGCUAGGGGCUCAACCGAGAGUCGCACUUGAAACUGGAGCUCUUGAGUGAGGGAGAGGUAGGCGGAAUGCGUGGUGUAGCGGUGAAAUGCAUAGAUAUCAGGAAGAACACCGAUGGCGAAGGCAGCAUGCCGGGUCUAUACUGACGCUGAGGCACGAAAGUGUGGGGAUCGAACAGGAUUAGAUACCCCAGUAGUC
RNAcentral lists this ribosomal RNA (440 nucleotides) under uncultured bacterium. Its description in RNAcentral is "partial 16S ribosomal RNA". It matches the Rfam family "Bacterial small subunit ribosomal RNA", at positions 338 to 795 of the family's 1533-position model. The record is from RNAcentral.